Molecule: ribosomal RNA, 226 nt
Filed under: uncultured bacterium
Lineage: Bacteria
Description: partial 16S ribosomal RNA
Rfam family: Bacterial small subunit ribosomal RNA
Source: RNAcentral
GCGUUGUCCGGAUUUAUUGGGCGUAAAGAGCGUGUAGGCGGUUAGAUAGGUCUGCUGUGAAAACUCCAGGCUCAACCUGGAGACGUCGGUGGAAACCAUCUAGCUAGAGUCCGGAAGAGGAGAGCGGAAUUCCUGGUGUAGCGGUGAAAUGCGCAGAUAUCAGGAAGAACACCCGUGGCGAAGGCGGCUCUCUGGGACGGUACUGACGCUGAGACGCGAAAGCGUG